RNAcentral lists this transfer RNA (77 nucleotides) under Chloroflexota bacterium. Its description in RNAcentral is "Chloroflexi bacterium tRNA-Pro". It matches the Rfam family "tRNA". From Rfam's summary of the family: Transfer RNA (tRNA) molecules are approximately 80 nucleotides in length. The record is from RNAcentral. Lineage: Bacteria; Bacillati; Chloroflexota.
CGGGGCGUAGCGCAGCUGGCUAGCGCGCAGCGUUUGGGACGCUGAGGUCGGAGGUUCGAAUCCUCUCGCCCCGACCU